This 582-nucleotide ribosomal RNA is filed under the name Triticum aestivum (bread wheat). RNAcentral describes it as "partial small subunit ribosomal RNA". The record is from RNAcentral. Lineage: Eukaryota; Viridiplantae; Streptophyta; Magnoliopsida; Poales; Poaceae.
AUGGCGCGUAUAAAUUUUGGUGUUAUCACCCUGAUCCCAUAAGUAGUUGGGGCGACGGACAUUCGCCAAUUCAGACCUAUCACAGUUAUCAACGUCCUGGAGCGCAUCUUCUCUAAAGUCUGCACGAUUAGACUCGGACUGGUAGUCGAGAGGAUGAACCACCCACUUCAGACAGCCUUCUUGAAAGGGAGACGAAUUCAUGACGAGGUUGUGUCCCUGCAUGAGAUUGUGCACGAGUUACGAUCGCGUGGACAAAAGAGUGUCUUCCUCAAGCUGGAUUUCCAGAAAGCCUAUGAUCGGCUAGAUUGGGAUUUCUUGCGGCUCGUUAUGCAGCGCAGAGGCUUUGAGGACAAAUGGUGCAACUGGAUUAUGCAGUUGGUACGGUCUGCCAAGACUGCGAUUUACAUUAACGGUGAUGUGGGGCCGUUCUUCUCAUCCUCUGCGGGAGUGAAGCAAGGGGAUCCGAUACCCCCCUACUCUUCAAUCUCGCCGUGGACGCUCUGGCAGGCAUCCUGGACAAAGCUAGGAGGGUCGACCACCUCUCGGGAGUUGCUAGUGUUGGGAAUCGAAGCAGAAUUUUAA